AGUAACGCGUAUACAAUCUACCUUUUACAGAGGGAUAGCCCAGAGAAAUUUGGAUUAAUACCUCAUAGUAUUUUCGAAUGGCAUCAUUUGAUUAUUAAAGUUCCAACGGUAAAAGAUGAGUAUGCGUCCCAUUAGCUAGAUGGUAAGGUAACGGCUUACCAUGGCAACGAUGGGUAGGGGUCCUGAGAGGGAGAUCCCCCACACUGGUACUGAGACACGGACCAGACUCCUACGGGAGGCAGCAGUGAGGAAUAUUGGACAAUGGGCGCAAGCCUGAUCCAGCCAUGCCGCGUGCAGGAAGACGGUCCUAUGGAUUGUAAACUGCUUUUAUACAGGAAGAAACACUCCCUCGUGAGGGAACUUGACGGUACUGUAUGAAUAAGCAUCGGCUAACUCCGUGCCAGCAGCCGCGGUAAUACGGAGGAUGCAAGCGUUAUCCGGAAUCAUUGGGUUUAAAGGGUCCGUAGGCGGUUUAAUAAGUCAGUGGUGAAAGCCCAUCGCUCAACGAUGGAACGGCCAUUGAUACUGUUAAACUUGAAUUAUUAGGAAGUAACUAGAAUAUGUAGUGUAGCGGUGAAAUGCUUAGAGAUUACAUGGAAUACCAAUUGCGAAGGCAGGUUACUACUAAUAUAUUGACGCUGAUGGACGAAAGCGUGGGGAGCGAACAGGAUUAGAUACCCUGGUAGUCCACGCCGUAAACGAUGGAUACUAGCUGUUCGGAGCAAUCUGAGUGGCUAAGCGAAAGUGAUAAGUAUCCCACCUGGGGAGUACGUUCGCAAGAAUGAAACUCAAAGGAAUUGACGGGGGCCCGCACAAGCGGUGGAGCAUGUGGUUUAAUUCGAUG
Molecule: ribosomal RNA, 844 nt
Filed under: uncultured Bacteroidota bacterium
Lineage: Bacteria; Pseudomonadati; Bacteroidota
Description: bacterial SSU rRNA
Rfam family: Bacterial small subunit ribosomal RNA
Source: RNAcentral